RNAcentral lists this ribosomal RNA (507 nucleotides) under Pediococcus pentosaceus. Its description in RNAcentral is "bacterial SSU rRNA". It matches the Rfam family "Bacterial small subunit ribosomal RNA", at positions 84 to 578 of the family's 1533-position model. The record is from RNAcentral. Lineage: Bacteria; Bacillati; Bacillota; Bacilli; Lactobacillales; Lactobacillaceae.
ACACGAAGUGAGUGGCGAACGGGUGAGUAACACGUGGGUAACCUGCCCAGAAGUAGGGGAUAACACCUGGAAACAGAUGCUAAUACCGUAUAACAGAGAAAACCGCAUGGUUUUCUUUUAAAAGAUGGCUCUGCUAUCACUUCUGGAUGGACCCGCGGCGUAUUAGCUAGUUGGUGAGGUAAAGGCUCACCAAGGCAGUGAUACGUAGCCGACCUGAGAGGGUAAUCGGCCACAUUGGGACUGAGACACGGCCCAGACUCCUACGGGAGGCAGCAGUAGGGAAUCUUCCACAAUGGACGCAAGUCUGAUGGAGCAACGCCGCGUGAGUGAAGAAGGGUUUCGGCUCGUAAAGCUCUGUUGUUAAAGAAGAACGUGGGUAAGAGUAACUGUUUACCCAGUGACGGUAUUUAACCAGAAAGCCACGGCUAACUACGUGCCAGCAGCCGCGGUAAUACGUAGGUGGCAAGCGUUAUCCGGAUUUAUUGGGCGUAAAGCGAGCGCAGGCGG